UGGGGAAUUUUGCACAAUGGGGGAAACCCUGAUGCAGCGACGCCGCGUGAUUUAGAAGGCCUUCGGGUUGUAAAAAUCUUUUCUAUGGGAAGAAAAUGACAGUACCAUAGGAAUAAGGACCGGCUAAUUACGUGCCAGCAGCCGCGGUAAUACGUAAGGUCCGAGCGUUGUCCGGAAUCAUUGGGCGUAAAGGGUACGUAGGCGGGUAAGCAAGUUAGAAGUGAAAUCCUAUAGCUCAACUAUAGUAAGCUUUUAAAACUGCUCAUCUUGAGGUAUGGAAGGGAAAGUGGAAUUCCUGGUGUAGCGGUGAAAUGCGCAGAUAUUAGGAGGAAUACCGGUGGCGGAGGCGACUUUCUGGCCAUAACCUGACGCUGAGGUACGAAAGCGUGGGUAGCAAACAGG
This 402-nucleotide ribosomal RNA is filed under the name bacterium. Its description in RNAcentral is "partial 16S ribosomal RNA". It matches the Rfam family "Bacterial small subunit ribosomal RNA", at positions 355 to 776 of the family's 1533-position model. The record is from RNAcentral.